Molecule: ribosomal RNA, 301 nt
Filed under: uncultured bacterium
Lineage: Bacteria
Description: partial 16S ribosomal RNA
Rfam family: Bacterial small subunit ribosomal RNA
Source: RNAcentral
CAGUCGCCGCGGUAAUACGGAGGGUGCAAGCGUUAAUCGGAAUUACUGGGCGUAAAGCGCACGCAGGCGGUCUGUCAAGUCGGAUGUGAAAUCCCCGGGCUCAACCUGGGAACUGCAUUCGAAACUGGCAGGCUAGAGUCUUGUAGAGGGGGGUAGAAUUCCAGGUGUAGCGGUGAAAUGCGUAGAGAUCUGGAGGAAUACCGGUGGCGAAGGCGACCCCCUGGACAAAGACUGACGCUCAGGUGCGAAAGCGUGGGGAGCAAACAGGAUUAGAUACCCCAGUAGUCCCUGUCUCUUAUAA